AAUUUACAGGAUGUGUAUACUUUAAAAUAACUAUUUGGCCAUGAUACAUACAUCUUCAAAUAAUAAUAUAUCAUCACAUUGAAUGUUUAACUUUUUGUAUUUUGGCCCAGUUCACUCUCACGUAACGUUAGCUGUAAAAAUAGCCUGCUGAAGUUGAAAUGUACAUCUUCAUGACUAGAUAGACACAGGUGAGUUUCUCUUUACUACUCGUUAGGUUUCUCUAAAGAGUCACUCAAUCGGAGGUAACAUUAAUCCUGUCAGAUCGUCCAUCCAUGAGCAUAGGGUCGGCCAAUCUGACUUUGUCCGUUAAAGUUAACUUAUUUAAAUAACAAUCGCGGUCCUGCACAGUGAGUGACCUUACAUAUGCAGGUAAAAUCGGAUUUUCUCCAGCCAUUGUUAAAAAAACAAGGUAAACAAUCUUCAUAGCUAGCGUUAGUGAAGCGGUCAGGGGAAUCUUUCUGCCUCCAGCUAAGCCCCGCCCACAGAAAAACGUCACAUUGUUUACUAACAGAAAAAGGGUCUAUACGAGUGACUCUGUCUGAUUCGAUUCACUUAACCAUUCAAAUGAGUCAUUUGUUUGUGAAUCAAACUGAGCACGCUGUUGUAGCAUUAUAUCUGCUAAGACAAUUCAAUAUGUGCAAUCUGAAUUUAAUAAUAAUAUUUAUUUUGUGGUAACACUGCCGUGUAGGAAGCUCUGACAGAGAAAAACACUAUAGAUACGUAAGAGGGAGCCGUAAAAUGUAAGUGCAUCAUCUUUUGUUCUUGAAUGGAGGCCUAAUCUGUCUGCUGCACUUGAGCAGGUUCAGUUUUUAGAGUGAAUGAAAACUUUUGAAGCGUAUAUAUGCCGUGUGAUGUGAUUAAAAUCAUACUUAUUUUACUGUGGAGGGGAUUAUUAUGAGCAAACAAACUUGAAAGUUUAAUCUGAACACUAUGUAAUCUGACAUAAUUUUUUUUUUUUUUUUUACAGAAAUUCUGAGCUGCUGCAUGAACAUUCAUCAAACUUAUAAGGCUGCAAUUUGGAAAAAACUUUCAAGCUAAUGCUGCUGAAAUGGAGGUCAAGGGGACUGAAGAGGUGGCUCCAGCUGAUCAAAAGAGAGGACUUCAGGAGGCAGACACACUCUGUUACAGUAAUCAGCUGAUCCAGCCGUAUCCAGACCAGAUGGUGGACCAGCACCCAGAAACGACCACAACACAUCCCUGACUGUCAGCGGAGACCAUGUCAGCUAGAUGACAGAUCCCUGUGAAGACCUCAUUGAUGGCCCCAGCACAGAUCCUCAGCAAAGACUACGAGAACAAGACAAGCCCUCUGCACAGACCCUUUUUACCAGCUUUACCUGCUAGCGUGAUAUUACUUCAUGCAGAAGAAGUUGGAUGAAAUAUUCUGAAUGAUAUCAAUCCACAAUCUGACAGAGCCUGGAAUAAUCACACCACGUUCAUUCAUUUGGCCAGACGAGACUGUUUCUGACUGAGCCGGGUCUUGUUUGGGUUCCUUGUCACUGUUGCUUGGUUGAAGACGCCUAAUAUUCAGCAAUAUUAUUGACUGCACUGACACCAUUUGAUAAGAA
Long non-coding RNA from Onychostoma macrolepis, 1565 nucleotides. RefSeq lists it as uncharacterized. The transcript is spliced from 3 exons. Lineage: Eukaryota; Metazoa; Chordata; Actinopteri; Cypriniformes; Cyprinidae. The record is from RefSeq and is a predicted model, not a curated record.